RNAcentral lists this ribosomal RNA (274 nucleotides) under uncultured Pseudomonas sp. Its description in RNAcentral is "partial 16S ribosomal RNA". It matches the Rfam family "Bacterial small subunit ribosomal RNA", at positions 1107 to 1382 of the family's 1533-position model. The record is from RNAcentral. Lineage: Bacteria; Pseudomonadati; Pseudomonadota; Gammaproteobacteria; Pseudomonadales; Pseudomonadaceae.
GUCCUUAGUUACCAGCACGUUAUGGUGGGCACUCUAAGGAGACUGCCGGUGCAAACCGGAGGAAGUGGGGAUGACGUCAAGUCAUCAUGGCCUUACGGCCUGGGCUACACACGUGCUACAAUGGUCGGGUACAAAGGGUUGCCAAGCCGCGAGGUGGAGCUAAUCCCAUAAAACCGAUCGUAGUCCGGAUCGCAGUCUGCAACUCGACUGCGUGAAGUCGGAAUCGCUAGUAAUCGUGAAUCAGAAUGUCACGGUGAAUACGUUCCCGGGCCUU